AGCUUCUCAUGAGCUCCUCUCUGUCCAGACAGUGACGGUGUAUGGAUUCGCACGAGAAGCAGAGUCACGUUCACAGUCAAACCGGCACCUGCAUCUGUGGGAGUUGCCUAUGUCUGCUGUGAUACAUAA
This is a small nucleolar RNA of Osmerus eperlanus (European smelt), 129 nucleotides long. RefSeq annotates it as small nucleolar RNA SNORA75. The record is from RefSeq and is a predicted model, not a curated record. The transcript has a single exon. Lineage: Eukaryota; Metazoa; Chordata; Actinopteri; Osmeriformes; Osmeridae.